ACUCUUCAAAACAAAGAUAGCAGUGGAAUGAAUCCCAGGGUAUUUAUAGUUGUUUAAGAGUCAUCUGAUUGGAGCGUAGUGAAUAGGAUAAUGCGGAUCUAGCCGCUAAUCAUAAGCAUGUGAUCCUCUCGACAUUUGUUUAUACAUAAACUUCACUUAUAACAUUAAUAAAGUGGGAAAAUAACAGCCUAUAGUCAGCUAGCAGGUCAGCAUUGCGUCACUGUGAAUGAGUCGGCCUGUCUGGUUUCAGAAUAUAAAAACACAAGCCUUUAUUUUUGUUUUCUUCUGAUUUUAUUUUUUGUUAUUUGAAAUUAAAAAAAAGAAAAUUAAAUCAAAAACGCAUUAAAUUUCAAUUUUCAUUUUUAAAUUGUAAAACGAAAAUCAGAAAACGACUUGUUUUACGUUUUUCAAUAUCUGUUUCUAAAAUGAAACUCCAAUGACUAAAAGAUACGUCUCCUUAUUUGAGUACUGCACGCCCUGUUCAACACAUAAAACUAAACAGAACAAGACAGAGUCUAAAGCAAGGCUGCCCAAACUCGGUCCUGGAGGGCCGCUGUCCUGCAUAUUUUUGUUUCAACCCCAAUUAAACACUCCUGAACAAGCUAAUCAAGCUGUUUCUAGGUAUACAAGAAAGCUACAAGCAGGUGUGUUUAAGAAAGUUGGAGCUAAACUAUGCAGGACAGCGGCCCUCUAGGACCGAGUUAGACACCCCUGCUCUAAAGAAUCAAAACAAAAGAAUCACAAUAGUGAAGAAUCAACUCUUUUGAAUUGAUUCAGAACUAAUGAUCAGUGUGUGUGUGUGUGUGUGUGUGUGUGUGUGUGUGUGUGUGUGUGUUGGUCAUCCAGACUCACAGCAGGCAACAGCGAGAAACAAACCAUGAAAAAACUGGAAGAAAAACUCAAUUAAAGCCACAAACUAAACUAAACCAAAGCAGUGUGUGUUAUUCCUGCACACACACACACACACAGGACAGACAUCAGGACAUGCAGAGGGCACACUGUGUGUGUGUAUGAAUCUGUGUGUGUGGUUGUGUGUAUAUGUGAAUGUGUAAGAUUGUAUUGAUGU
Danio rerio (zebrafish) is the source of this 1066-nucleotide non-coding RNA. The record is from RefSeq and is a predicted model, not a curated record. NCBI's taxonomy places the organism in Eukaryota, Metazoa, Chordata, Actinopteri, Cypriniformes, Danionidae.